GACGAACGCUGGCGGCGUGCUUAACACAUGCAAGUCGAACGAAGUGGCGAACGGGUGCGUAAUACGUGGGUACCCUGCCCUCCUUUUUGGGCUAAUCCUUGGAAACGUGGUCUAAUACCGAAUAGUGGGGGAUGGGCGCGGCGCCUAUCAGCUUGUUGGUGGGGUUAUGGCCUACCAAGGCGGUGACGGGUAGCCGGCCUGGGAGGGUGGACGGCAAAAUGGGGACUGGGACACGGCCCAGACUCCUACGGGAGGCAGCAGUGGGGAAUAUGGCACAAUGGGCGGAAGCCUGAUGCAGCGACGCCGCGUGGGGGAUGACGGCCUUCGGGUGGUAAACGCCUUUCACCAUCGACGCGGUAGAUGGAGAAGAAGCACCGGCUAACUACGUGCCAGCAGCCGCGGUAAUAC
This 408-nucleotide ribosomal RNA is filed under the name uncultured bacterium. Its description in RNAcentral is "partial 16S ribosomal RNA". It matches the Rfam family "Bacterial small subunit ribosomal RNA", at positions 28 to 526 of the family's 1533-position model. The record is from RNAcentral.